AAAAUGUUUUAUUUUAGCAUAAAAAUUUGUUUAUAAUUUAUUUUACAUGUAAAUUUUAGUAAGAGUUUUGAAUUAUUUAAAUAAUAAUUUAUUUAAUUUUAUUCGCAGUGAUUAAUAUUAAUUAUUAAAGAAAUUUAGAAUUAGUGAUAUUAUUUAAUAUUAGCAAAAUUUGUGCCAGCUGCUGCGGUUAGACAAAAAAUAUAAAUGAAUUAGGUUAGAUUAUAAUUAAAUUGAAUGUUUAUAUAAUAAAAUUAAGUUUAUUAGGUGAAAUUUUAAAUUUAAUAAAUUUUAUAAGUUAAAAUAUUGAAAUUAUGAAAUUUUAUAACUAAACUAGGAUUAGAUACCCUAUUAUUUAAAAUGUAAAUUAUUAAUCUAGAAUAGUAUUAGUUAUGUUCUUGAAAUUUAAAAAAUUUGGCGGUAUUUUAGUCUAUUCAGAGGAACCUGUUUUAUAAUUGAUAAUCCACGUUGGACCUUACUUAAUUUUGUUUAGUUUGUAUACCGCCGUCAUCAGAAUGUCUUUAAAAAGGAAUAAUUUUCUUAAAUUUUUAAUAUAAAUUAUGUCAGGUCAAGGUGCAGCUUAUGGUUAAGUAAAAAUGGGUUACAAUAAAUUUAUUUUUGGAUGAAAAAUUGAAAUUAUUUUUUUGAAAUUGGAUUUGAUAGUAAAAUAAUAAAGAAAAGUUAUUUGAUUUUAGCUCUAAAAUAUGCACAUAUCGCCCGUCGCUCUCGUUAUUAAGAUGAGAUAAGUCGUAACAUAGUAGAUGUACCGGAAGGUGUAUCUAGAAAGAC
RNAcentral lists this non-coding RNA (786 nucleotides) under Nephrotoma quadrifaria. The record is from RNAcentral. Lineage: Eukaryota; Metazoa; Arthropoda; Insecta; Diptera; Tipulidae.